AGGGAGCCGUUUAGGCGUCUUAAGCCUAAAUGAAGCAGAGAAGGUGUUGGAAAGGCCUUCCCAACACUUCUUUUAACAAAAGAAUCAAAGGAGGAGGGGGCCCUGUUUCGAACCGGGUCGCACUAAGUUCGAACGAAACCGGCCGAUUCGGGCCUUUUUUGGUCAGUUCGGAAUCCAUUCCUGUUGUUUCGGGGCCGGAACCGUUCUUAAUAGGCGAACCGACCUAGUUCCCCACCAGGUUAGCUCGGUAUGGGCCGAACCAGGCAGUUCGGUCCGGUUCGGCCUACCUUGCCCUCGCCUCUUCUACUAUAUCGGUACGAGCCCGGCAGGAGGCCGCACUGACUCGUGCCGCCUGGCAACCAGUCCGAGGACCGAUACCGGCACAACAGUCCUUGGUGCUAUGUGUCAUUAUGAAACUAGUUUUCAAAAACAUUGGCAAUUGAUCAACUCCAACUCUGAGAAUUUAAAAGCUGGCAUUGGUAACUAUGCUGGUCCCCAAUCAGCAAGGUAUGUGCCCCACUAUACGCCCAUGUUGACACAUGGCACAGGCUGGCACACUAGAACAACUUGAUAGAGCAACAUAGACCGACUUGGACACAG
RNAcentral lists this long non-coding RNA (600 nucleotides) under Phoenix dactylifera (date palm). RNAcentral describes it as "long non-coding RNA (PDAC_LNC020887)". Lineage: Eukaryota; Viridiplantae; Streptophyta; Magnoliopsida; Arecales; Arecaceae. The record is from RNAcentral.